This 429-nucleotide ribosomal RNA is filed under the name Gemmatimonadota bacterium. Its description in RNAcentral is "Gemmatimonadetes bacterium partial 16S ribosomal RNA". It matches the Rfam family "Bacterial small subunit ribosomal RNA", at positions 355 to 776 of the family's 1533-position model. Lineage: Bacteria; Pseudomonadati; Gemmatimonadota. The record is from RNAcentral.
UAGGGAAUCUUCGGCAAUGGACGAAAGUCUGACCGAGCAACGCCGCGUGAGUGAAGAAGGUUUUCGGAUCGUAAAACUCUGUUGUUAGAGAAGAACAAGGACGUUAGUAACUGAACGUCCCCUGACGGUAUCUAACCAGAAAGCCACGGCUAACUACGUGCCAGCAGCCGCGGUAAUACGUAGGUGGCAAGCGUUGUCCGGAUUUAUUGGGCGUAAAGCGAGCGCAGGCGGUUUCUUAAGUCUGAUGUGAAAGCCCCCGGCUCAACCGGGGAGGGUCAUUGGAAACUGGGAGACUUGAGUUCAGAAGAGGAGAGUGGAAUUCCAUGUGUAGCGGUGAAAUGCGUAGAUAUAUGGAGGACCACCAGUGGCGAAGGCGGCUCUCUGGUCUGUAACUGACGCUGAGGCUCGAAAGCGUGGGGAGCAAACAGG